UCCGCUGGCGGAGGCUCUGGCGGUGGCGGCGCGCGAGCGCGAGCGAUCCCGACCCCACAUUCCUGGGAGCGCGGAAUAUCUUGGGAUCUUCUCUGAUCUGCCAGCAGCCAAGGUGUUCACUGGAAAUUCAAGGAAAACAGGUCAGUGUCAGUCUUGGGUCCGUUGUGUGAUGGGACCUCUAUAAGACUGUGUGUUAUAAACUAUCUAAAGCCAGUUUCUCUUGCCCUUUAACUGUGGGUUGGGGAGGGAGGUAGAAUGGGAUGUUGACACUUUCUAGAUGUCUCUCUGUCCUAGCUCUUGACUUUGAAUUGAUAAGCUCCUUAAAUUGGGCUUUGGGGGUCAGGAGAGCCUCCCCCGCUUCCCUCUGUUUCUGAAUGGUGGCCAGCAGUAUUCUUAAUUUCUUUCUUGACCUCCCUGAUUGUAGGGAGGAAGCCUAGGGAGGCAGGAGAGGCCUGUAACUUCCUGCUUCCCGUCUCCUCCCAGCAGGCUUGGGAGCCAGGGUGGAGGACCGCCCCACAGCCAGCCAGGAAAGAAUCUGUGGGAAUCGGGCCAAUCCCACCUGUGUCUGUUCCUCUGUAUUGGCUGCCACAGGAAAGCCCCUGGCCCUCUGGGUGGGCACCCUCUGCCAGAACCCUCAUCUCUGCUCCUGCAGAUUCCCGGGUCUUGCUGGCAGCUUCUUUGUUCCCAGAACCUGUGCUUAAGGCCCCUGUGGGGCUGGUGCUGGGCUGGAGCUACCAGUGUGGAGGAUGCUGAUUCAAAUUCUGGGGUGCUGCUUAUAGAUCUGGGUCUUUUUAUAUUUUAAUUGAUGUGUUUUAUCCUGUGGCUUAUUCCUGCUGGGUAAUUUGUAAAUCUCUUAACUUCCAAGAACCCAGCUGUGUGGUGCUGGGGGUGGUGUGGUAAGAAGGAUGGUGCCGCUGGCUGGUGGUAGCUUUUCUUGCCAAAAGGCUCCCAUCUCUCUGAGUCCCAGCAGAGAUGAUUGGGAGUUCCAGGCAUGGCCUUGGGCCUCUUAUUGGCCUUUUGUGCUUUGCACAUUAUACUCAGGGUGCCAGUAUUCAUAUCUGUCAUUGUCAUCAUUGGCCACAGUUUCAGACUCUUAACAUAUGUCCACAACUAAUUUAAUUAAAUUCGUAUUAAAUCUUAAUUUAAAUCUCACUUAACUUUCAUGAGAGUCCUGUGAGGUAGCUGUCAUUUCGCCCUGUUUCACAGUGGCAGCAGCUAAGGUGGAGACAAAGACUUGCCUAAGGACACAGCUUUAGUGCCAGGGGAGCAGCAGCUCAAGUUCAGGCGGUCUGACUCCUGCCGUACCUGCCCUUCCCACCAGACCUGUGGCCAUUGCCAUCUGGCCUGGGAACCUGCUCCAUGUCCCUCCUUGAGCCUGCUACAGCCAGGAUGUGGGGCUCCCAUUUUAAGUCUUCCCCCCUCCCACCGGGGCCUGGGGAGGGUGUCUGCUUUCAGUCUCGACACCUUGGGAUUUGGGGCACUGCCUACUGGAGGACUGGCCAUGCAGCCAAGCAGGAGGCCACGCCGAGGGAAACCAGUCUGCUAGAAAUCAGGUGGCAGGGAUGGAAGGACUUGAGGACAAGUGGGCGAGGGUUCUCGCACGCAGCAUGCCCUGGCUGCUCAUGGCACGUUCUGCCCUGUCACAGAGAUUCCAUGGGGCCUGCCCUGGGGGGACCUGCCAAGCAGAAGGUGCUGGGGAGCUCCCAGGAGGCUGCACUGCAUGGCCUUGGGGAGACGGAUGGCCUCUGAUAUCACCAGUCCUUUCUAGACAGACGACUGUCCUCCUCCUGUGAAUCUGGAUUGAAGGCAGAGUGAGGAGACUUGACAGACAGGACGCUUGUCCUUGCCCAAGGCUUUGGGCUUCGAAGUCUUGGUUGGACAUUGCUUGUCAUGUGGGUUGGCCUCUGGAAUGAUGACGUGGGUGGAGGUCCUCAUCCCACCUCUACCUGGCUAGGUGACCUUUGGUGAACUGGUUGCUUUUUUUAGGCUGCUCUCCUCUCCUCCAUUUGCCCAGGUGCCUUCUCGUUCUGGUGAAGGUGGUUUCUGGCUGGAUGAGGGCCUGCCUGGGUUUUGGCUUCCAGUCCGGGGCCUCCCAAACCCCCCUUCCGCUCCGCAGUGGUCACUCUGGCUCUGCCUCAGGUAGAUGGAGGAGGAAGGAAUGAAGUUAAUGAGGAAACAAGAGCUCUGAGUCCUGAUGGAAGCCGGCCUGGGGGCGAAGGCUGUUCACAGAGAUGGUCGCCUGACUGGUUGGUGGGGGGCUUGCUGCCCGACUUUCCUUUGAUCUGCCCCCGGCCUCGGCCCCGGCCCAUGCAUUUAGGACUGAGAGGCUCCCUCACUGGACUCCAGCCCAACAAGUUAACAAUUUCAACCUCAGUUAGAGCCCCUGCCUAGUGGAGGGUGGUCCUCCUCUCACACCAGAAGCACAGCCCACACUCAGCCUGAACUGCUGGGCUCCUGAGAACUUGUGGCCAGGAGGAGUGCCUAUGUGGGCUCGGCAGCCACGUGUAGAUGAUUUUUGAUUAUCUGUUGUUUCAUACUAUCUGUGCUUUUGACUUUACCACACCCCUUCCCCCUCUGCCUCCCCCCCGACACACUGCCUGGAAAUUAAUUGCACUUUGAAUACUUGCUUACUUUCCCAGAGUCUCGUGACCAUUUCUACAGCCAAAGUCAGCAUUUAUUAAAACAUCUGGGAGUUCCCGUCGUGGCUUAGUGGAAACGAAUCUGACUAGCAUCCAUGAGGAUGCAGGUUCGAUCCCUGGCCUCACUCAGUGGGUUAAGGAUCUGGCAUUGCCGUGAGCUGUGGUAUAGGUCGCAGACGAGGCUCGGAUCUGGUGUAGACUGGUAGCUAUAACUCCAGUUCGGCCCCUAGCCUGGGAACUUCCAUAUGCCACACCUGUAGCCCUAAAAAAAAAAAAAGAAAAGAAAAAAGGAAGAAAAAGAAAUCUGACCUUGUGAUGGGAAGAGGCAAGGAUGGGGCUGGAGAACUUUCCAGGGGUAUGAAGAGUCAGGCAGCUCAGCAGAUCUCCUGGACCCCCCCCCCACUUGUUGAGGGGGGCUUGGCUAUCACUCCAGGAAGGCCAAAGUUCCGGUAAUUUCCUAUAUAGGAUGUUGGGGUGUUUUUGACCUUGGCCUUGGCAGCUCGGAGCUGCCACUAACCCUCACAGCCACUUCUGUGCAGAUUUGAAAAAUUGCCCUUCUUCAGGUGAUAAAGAAAAUUAGAGUGAACAAAUUGCUGUAAAACUCUGUGUGGACCAGCCUUCUAGAGUCCUGGCGGGCAGCGGCCGAACCUGUGUGUACAUUCCAGCACAUCCUGUGCUCCUUCCACCCCCGGGGAAAGGGUGUCAGGCUCAGUCGGGGAGAGGGCCUGGGGUGGGGGCAGGGAACGGGCCCCUGAAAACAGUGGACAGGUGAGGGGGUGAUGCUCAGGGCAAGGCUGGAACAGGGUGUGGCCGCCCACUAGCGCAUGUGUGUGAGUAUGUGUGUGCUUGUCCUGGCGUGUUUGCUCAUGUGCGUUGUGUGGGACGGAGUUCUCCUGCAUUGUUCUGGGACUCAGAUGAGAGGCCUGCCUGAGCCCUUUCAACGUAUACCGGUGCCGUGAAUGCUUCCUCCUUCAGGGGGUGUAGAACUCAAACACAGUCCCUGGCCGCCUGCCCCUUCCCGUGCGGAGGCAGAGGCUUAGGGGCCCAACGCUCUCCAGCAGGGACAGAGAGAGCAGAUCCUGCCCCAGCAAGUCGUCAGCCCCCACUGGGGCCCAGCCCUGUAGAAGUGCUCAGAGCAGCAGGGCGACGAGCUGGGUUGGAAUGGGGAUAUGUGAACCUGUAGAAUGACGCGUUUUGUUUUAGAGAAAGCGAGGUAGAGGUCUGGGCUUGCAAUUUUCCAUUUGUCUAAUCCUGGGAGAUGCUAAACAGCUUUGUUUAAAAACUGGACACACAGAUUGCAGAGUCCUGAGUAAGGAAGAGCCAUUGGGUCCCCCAGGAAGGCAGUUAGGUUUGAAGCCAGAGUUCAGAUCUGGAUGCAGCAUGGGACACCUGGAGGAUGGGGAGGGAAGCUCUCAGGGCACCCCGAGGCCCCAAGUCGCUCUGAAUUAGCAGCUCCCACUUGCUUGCCACUGACAUGGGCCUGGUGGGGAGGAAGCGCCAGUCCAAGGUCACCACCCACCAUCCAGGCUGUGGGCUGCAGAGAUGGGGGCGGUGUGGAGCUACCUUGCUGCUCUGUCCCUCUCCUGCUGUAGAUGGAGCAGCCGGAGAUGGUGGUGGCCACCUGGCUGUGUCUGUGAACCACUCCUUUGAGAGGCAGGCUGUCCCCACAGUGCAGGGAGAAUAAUACAGGACACCGGCCCGCCAAGGGCAGGGCUGGGUGGAACGUUCUCUGAGGACCUGCAGAGGAGCCCAGGGGAGAUGGAGAUGCAGGGGAGAUGGAGAUGCAGAGGAAAUGGAGAUGCAGAGGAUGCAAGCUGGGGCAUGGGUGUAGCCCAGUGACUGGAAAGAGGAGGAGCAAGCUGCAGGAGGAGGAGCAAGCUGCAGGAGGAGGUGGGGGGGGCUCUUCACUAUGGGGCACCAGCAGUGCCACCCAGAGGAGACUGACCUUAGAGACCAGCAGUGGGGAGCCAGUGUUGGUCCCAAAACAGAGAAAUGACAGCAUAAAGGUGGAUUUUUAGGAAAAAUGAGCUUGUGGCAGAAUCCAAGGUGAAAAAUUAAUACAAACGCCUUUUUACUUUUGGCUGCACCGGGUACAUAUGGAAGUUCCCAGGCCAGGGAUGGAACUCUCACCACAGCAGUGACCCAAGCCGCUGCAGUUACAAUGCUGUAUCCUUAACCUGCUGGGCCACAGGGGAACUCAAAUGCACCCUCCUUAUAACCUUCAAGCAUUAUAGAAGUAGAAAAGGAAAAUCGGAGUUCCCAUUGUGGCUCAGCAGUUAAUGAAUCUGACUAGCAUCCAUGAGGACACAGGUUUGAUCCCUGGCGUGGCUCUGUGGAAUUAAGCAUCCAGUGUUGCCAUGAGCUGUGCUGUAGGUCGCAGAUUCGGCUUGGAUCCUAUGUAGGCCAGCAGCUACAGCUCCGAUUUGACCCCUAGCCUGGGAACCUCCACAUGCUGCGGGUAUGGCCCUAAAAAGCAAAAAAAAAAAAAAAAA
RNAcentral lists this long non-coding RNA (5131 nucleotides) under Sus scrofa (pig). Its description in RNAcentral is "lncRNA (ENSSSCG00050018364.1)". The record is from RNAcentral. Lineage: Eukaryota; Metazoa; Chordata; Mammalia; Artiodactyla; Suidae.